GGGGAUUUAGCUCAGUGGUAGAGCACUUGUCUAGCAAGCAGAAGGUCCUGGGUUCGGUCCUCAGCUCUG
This 69-nucleotide transfer RNA is filed under the name Rattus norvegicus (Norway rat). It matches the Rfam family "tRNA". Rfam says of the family: Transfer RNA (tRNA) molecules are approximately 80 nucleotides in length. Their secondary structure includes four short double-helical elements and three loops (D, anti-codon, and T loops). Lineage: Eukaryota; Metazoa; Chordata; Mammalia; Rodentia; Muridae. The record is from Rfam by way of RNAcentral.